This 573-nucleotide long non-coding RNA is filed under the name Musa acuminata (dwarf banana). Its description in RNAcentral is "long non-coding RNA (MACU_LNC005711)". The record is from RNAcentral. Lineage: Eukaryota; Viridiplantae; Streptophyta; Magnoliopsida; Zingiberales; Musaceae.
CAGGAACUGAAGACGGCGGCCAAGAACGUCAAUUACUGGAGCGGCGUCACCUCGAUGAUGCCCCUCGUUGGUGGAUUCGUGGCCGAUGCGUACUUGGGCAGAUUCUCCACCGUUCUCCUCUCCACCCUCAUCUACAUCGGGGUACACCUGCUCGCUCGCUGCCAUCCAUACCUUCUUCUCAUCUUCUUUGACAUCAUGUGCUUGGUGGCAUUUGAUCGCUGCAGGGUCUCGGCCUGUUAACCAUGUCGCAGACGGUCCCGCGGCUGAAGCCAUGCGACGCGAGCGGCGCCUGCGGCCGAUCACUGCGACUCCACAAGGUCAUCUUCUUCGUGGCCAUGUACCUGAUCUCGGGGGGCACCGGCGGCCACAAGCCGUCGCUCGAGAGCUUCGGCGCCGACCAGUUCGACGACAACCACGCGGAGGAGCGGAAGCAGAAGAUGUCCUACUUCAACUGGUGGAGCUUCGCCCUCUGCAGCGGGCUGACGCUGGGGGUCACCGUCGUCGUCUACGUCCAGGACGCCGUCAGCUGGUGGCUGGCCGACGUCGUGCUCACCGCCGUCAUGUGUUUCUGCU